AGAGGCGGUUCAAGGGUGGGAGCUUGGGGGAAGGAGUGGAGUGGGUGGGCUGAAGGUUGAACCUCCUGCCCCUGCUAUUUACAUUAAUUCGUAUGGGGAAAUUGGAUUCGCUUAACAUUGUUUCACUUAAACUCACAUUUUUCAGGAACAUAACGUUAAGUGAGGAGUUACUGUACUUAAAUUUAAGCAAGGGACAGAAAGAUUAGAUGUCUAUUAUAACAGGAGUUAAAGUAUUUGUAACAUGGUUUAAGCCAGAUUUGUUUUAUUCUUUUAGUGAUAAAAAUUGCAGGGUGGAUAAAAAAAAAUGAUUUUUUUGAUAAGUUUUUUCCUUAAAAAGCAUUUUAUCUAAAGAUAAAUUUUAAUUAAGAUAUAUCUUUGAGCUAUAACGUAUCUCAUCAUGGAAUAGGGAUUUUAAAUUCUAAUUCUAUAGUAUGAGACAAUAUAUUCAGGUAAUGUUUUACAAAACUUUUCUUAAUGAGUUCCAAUAGUUCAUAGAUUACCGACCCAAUCUUAUGGGGUUCCAGGGGCUUCUGCACAGAAAGAUUAACCUAAAUAAUCCAUCUACCUAAUGGGACUCAGUGCUCAGUCUAGAACAGGGGUUGGCAAUCUUUCAGCAGUGGUGUGCUGAGUCUUCAUUUAUCCACUCUAAUUUAAGGUUUUGCGUGCCAGUAAUACAUUUUAACAUUUUAAGAAGGUCUCUUUCUAUAAGUCUAUAAUAUAUAACUAAACUAUUGUUGUAUGUAAAGUAAAUAAGGUUUUAAAAUGUUUAAGAAACUUAAUUUAAAAUUGAAUUAAAAUGCAGAGCUCCCAGACCGGUGGCCAGGACCCAGGCAGUGUGAGUGCCACUGAAAAUCAGCUCACAUGCCACCUUUGGCACAUGUGCCAUAGGUUGCCUACCCCUGUCUAAACGAUACUAUCAAAGAUGGCUCGUUUUGCAGUUCUCAAACUGUGAAUGUGUGUCUCCAGAGAUAACAUGCUUUUAACAUGUUUUUUAAAUAAAUAAAUAUAGAGGUGAGAAAUAACAGACCUUAACCCUAUUGUCCCUCUGAAAAAUUGUGUACAUGGAGUCAAUUCCAUUCCUCUUUCUAGAAGUGCAAAGUUUCAAAAUGUUCAAUGAACAGAAGAUCGUUGGGGCAGAAUAGAUCUGGACAAGGAGAAGGCGGCUGGAGAUAAAUGUGAGAAGGGAGGGACAGGUAGUAGAAACAAAAGUGAAACUGUUUCAGCAGCAUAUUCCAGAAGUCUUGAGGUCUCUCUGAGUGCAGACUUCGUUGUUUUGAGAUCUCCCAUACCAUUCUCUCACUAGAAGGGAAAACCUAUAAUGGCAGCAGGCCAUAAGAGAGACCCAGUUUGGAAAUAUUUUAAUAAAGUUCCUCUACCUGUGGGUAAGAGAGGCAUGCGUGCAAAAUGCAAACAGUGCAACAAAGAAAUGCAAGGCCUGGUUGUUCGAAUGAAACAUCAUCAUGAAAAGUGUUCCUUCUCAGGAGGAAGCUAUGUUGAAGAUGAUGAAAGGAACAUGCCUGAACAUGCAGGAUCUUCAGGCUGGAAAAUCCACCCUCAACAUACAGGAUUCUGAAGACUGUCCACCUUCAAGAUCACCGUCGUUUUCUAUAGUUUCAGAGUUAUCUGCCAAUGAUAGUGUUUCAGUCACAUCACGUAUGUGAUGUCACAUACCCACAAUAUAUCACCUGUAGCAAAAAAAAAAAAAAUCUCCAUCAUCCAGGAACUAUAAAUAAGUGUGUGAUAAGAAUCAGCAGAUUACAAAAAGAGGUCACUGAUGAAAAAAUUGCCCUGUUUAUGCAACAAACGCUCCUUUCCAUAUGAUUGAGAACCCACACUUCAUUAACAUGUUUCAGUCAUUAAGACCAGAAUACAGUCCACCCAACAGAGCAGAUGUCGCAGGCUAAUUGCUGGAUAAAAUGUCUGAAAGAGAAACUGAGCAGUGUGCAAAAGGUCUAGAGGGUGAAACUGUUAACCUGAGUCUUGAUGGGUGGAGCAAUGUCCGCAAUGAUCCUGUUGUGUGUGCUUGUGAGACAACAGAAGAAGGGAAUCUUCCUUACAGGAAGAACUGAUACAGCAGGAAAUGCACACACAGAAGAACACUUACAAGAAGUAGCAGUAAAAACUAUAACAAACUGAAAAAAAUGCAAAAUGUCUAGUACGCAGCUUGGUCACAGAUCAUGCUGCAAAUGUAUCCAAGAUAAGAAAUUAUUUACGCUUGCAGUGCUCAUUUGAUGCACCUUCUAGCCAAAGACUUCAGUGUUCCAGAAAUAAACGCUAAUGUUGUUGAAAUUGCAAAAUACUUCCGUAACAACCACUUUGCAACAGCUGCUCUGAAAAAAGUGGGAGGAACCAAGCUACCUCUCCCAUAAGACGUGUGACGGAAUUCAGUAGUGGACUGUUUUGAGCACUAGAUCAAGAACAGACCUAAUUUGAAGACUUUUUGUGAACAAAAUCGUGAAAAAGAACAGCUGGCACUGUCACAGCCAAAGUUCACAAAAUUGGGCUUAAGAGAAAUGUUGAACACAUGCUGAGUACCCUGAAGCCUAUUUCUGCAGACUUGAACAAAAUGCAAGGAAAUAGCUGUCUUAUUGCUGACGCUGUUGAAACUUAGAAGGAACUGAGUGAGAUCUUAAAAAGAGAACUAUGUAGUGACAGAGUUAAAUUACAAGCAUUAAAAAAAUGAAUGUGACAAGCAA
Long non-coding RNA from Gopherus flavomarginatus (Mexican gopher tortoise), 2696 nucleotides. RefSeq lists it as uncharacterized. Lineage: Eukaryota; Metazoa; Chordata; Testudines; Testudinidae. The transcript is spliced from 2 exons. The record is from RefSeq and is a predicted model, not a curated record.